Molecule: ribosomal RNA, 867 nt
Filed under: Alteromonadales bacterium
Lineage: Bacteria; Pseudomonadati; Pseudomonadota; Gammaproteobacteria; Alteromonadales
Description: bacterial SSU rRNA
Rfam family: Bacterial small subunit ribosomal RNA
Source: RNAcentral
GAACUGCAUUUGAAACUGGUUGACUAGAGUUUUGUAGAGGGUGGUAGAAUUUCAGGUGUAGCGGUGAAAUGCGUAGAGAUCUGAAGGAAUACCAGUGGCGAAGGCGGCCACCUGGACAAAGACUGACACUGAGGCGCGAAGGCGUGGGGAGCAAACGGGAUUAGAUACCCCGGUAGUCCACGCAGUAAACGAUGUCUAUUAGAAGUUUGUGGCUAUAUGCCGUGGGUUUCAAAGCUAACGCAUUAAAUAGACCGCCUGGGGAGUACGGCCGCAAGGUUAAAACUCAAAUGAAUUGACGGGGGCCCGCACAAGCGGUGGAGCAUGUGGUUUAAUUCGAUGCAACGCGAAGAACCUUACCAUCCCUUGACAUCCAGAGAAUCACCUAGAGAUAGAUGAGUGCCUUCGGGAACUCUGAGACAGGUGCUGCAUGGCUGUCGUCAGCUCGUGUUGUGAAAUGUUGGGUUAAGUCCCGCAACGAGCGCAACCCUUAUCCUUAGUUGCCAGCACGUAAUGGUGGGAACUCUAGGGAGACUGCCGGUGAUAAACCGGAGGAAGGUGGGGACGACGUCAAGUCAUCAUGGCCCUUACGGGAUGGGCUACACACGUGCUACAAUGGCAAAUACAAAGGGUUGCUAACCUGCGAGGGUAUGCGAAUCUCAUAAAGUUUGUCGUAGUCCGGAUCGGAGUCUGCAACUCGACUCCGUGAAGUCGGAAUCGCUAGUAAUCGUGGAUCAGAAUGCCACGGUGAAUACGUUCCCGGGCCUUGUACACACCGCCCGUCACACCAUGGGAGUGGGCUGCACCAGAAGUCAUUAGCUUAACCUUCGGGAUGGCGAUGACCACGGUGUGGUUCAUGACUGGGGUGAA